GCUCAACUGGAAGAGGAGUUUGUGGCGUUUCAGAAGCUGAAUCAGAAUUCCAGCGGUUCGAACCCGCUGCUGGAUC
RNAcentral lists this transfer RNA (76 nucleotides) under Gimesia maris. RNAcentral describes it as "tRNA-Sec". The record is from RNAcentral. Lineage: Bacteria; Pseudomonadati; Planctomycetota; Planctomycetia; Planctomycetales; Planctomycetaceae.